RNAcentral lists this ribosomal RNA (1698 nucleotides) under Triticum aestivum (bread wheat). RNAcentral's name for it is "partial small subunit ribosomal RNA". Lineage: Eukaryota; Viridiplantae; Streptophyta; Magnoliopsida; Poales; Poaceae. The record is from RNAcentral.
AUGGCGAUCGCGCUCAGAUUCGCCGCCACCCCGCCCCGCCUCGCCGCGCCGAUACCUCCGACGAGUGCCCCUCACGCCCAUGGAGGUGUUGCGCGCGCCGGCGCCCUGGGCGGGACUCGCCGUGGCAGGAGACUGGCAAUGGCGGCCGCGGAUUCCGCUCGCUGUCGGGCCAAGAGAGAGGGCGACGGCGACGGCGUCAUCGCGGGAGUCGCCGUCCACGGAGGAACCGGAGCGGAAGGGGAAGAUCAGCUGAGCGUGGUGAUGAAGUUCGGUGGUUCGUCCGUGUCGUCGGCGGCGAGGAUGAAGGAGGUGGCGGGGCUCAUCCAAGCUUUCCCCGAGGAGCGCCCCGUCGUCGUCCUCUCCGCCAUGGGGAAGACCACCAAUCUACUCCUCCUCGCUGGAGAGAAGGCAGUGGGAUGUGGAGUGACCCGCGUUUCCGAAAUAGAAGAGUGGAACAUGCUCAGAGAUCUCCAUAUCAAGACAGUUGAUGAACUUGGACUGCCAAGAUCUGUUAUACAUGCUAAGCUAGAUGAACUGGAGCAGCUCUUGAAAGGUGUUGCCAUGAUGAAAGAGCUGACACUUCGCAGCACUGACUACCUUGUGUCAUUUGGAGAAUGCAUGUCCACACGGGUUUUUGCGGCUUAUCUAAACCAGAUUGGCGUCAAAGCACGUCAGUGUGACGCGUUUGAUAUUGGUUUCAUAACGACAGACGAUUUUGGUAAUGCUGAGAUAUUGGAAGCAACUUAUCCUGCUGUUGCAAAGAGAUUACAUGGGGACUGGAUUCGGGAUCCAGCAAUACCUAUUGUUACUGGGUUCCUUGGGAAGGGCUGGAAAUCAGGUGCCGUUACUACUUUAGGCAGAGGUGGCAGUGACUUGACUGCUACAACCAUUGGUAAAGCCUUGGGAUUGAGAGAAAUUCAGGUGUGGAAGGAUGUUGAUGGUGUACUUACUUGUGAUCCAAAUAUCUACCCAAAUGCAAGGACUGUCCCGUACUUAACAUUUGAUGAGGCUGCUGAACUUGCUUAUUUUGGUGCCCAGGUUUUACAUCCACAAUCGAUGCGACCUGCUAGAGAAGGUGAUAUACCAGUUAGGGUUAAGAAUUCAUACAACCCUAAAGCUCCAGGCACCCUUAUUGCCAAAGGAAGAGAUAUGGAUAAGGUCGUGCUUACAAGUAUAGUUCUGAAGUCAAAUGUCACUAUGCUGGAUAUAGUGAGCACUCGGAUGCUUGGUCAAUUUGGUUUCCUGGCAAAGGUGUUUUCUAUAUUCGAAGACCUAGGCAUAUCUGUAGAUUGUGUGGCGACUAGUGAGGUCAGCAUUUCUGUGUCGCUCGACCCAUCAAAGAUCUGGAGCAGGGAACUUAUUCAACAGGAGCUUGACCAUGUGGUGGAAGAGCUGGAGAAAAUCGCAUUCGUCCAUCUUCUCCAGCAGAGAGCGAUAGUCUCGCUCAUCGGGAACGUGCGGAAAUCAUCGCUCAUACUAGAGAAGGCCUUCCACGUGUUGAGGAGAAUCGGGGUCAAUGUCCAGAUGAUCUCGCAAGGCGCAUCAAAGGUGAACAUGUCGCUGAUCGUCCACGACAGCGAGGCGAAGCUGUGCGUGGAGGCCCUCCACCAGGCCUUCUUCGAGGGCGAUGGCGAUGGCGAUGGCGAUGAUCGCCUGACGGCAGAAUUCGAUGAGGAGAACCUGCGGCUUGAGCUGUGA